This 376-nucleotide ribosomal RNA is filed under the name uncultured bacterium. Its description in RNAcentral is "bacterial SSU rRNA". It matches the Rfam family "Bacterial small subunit ribosomal RNA", at positions 521 to 896 of the family's 1533-position model. The record is from RNAcentral.
UAAGACGAACCGUCCUAACGUUGUUCGGAAUCACUGGGCUUAAAGGGCGCGUAGGCGGGCACGCAAGUCCGGGGUGAAAUCUUUCGGCUUAACCGGAAAACAGCCUUGGAUACUGCGUGUCUGGAGGGAGGUAGGGGCGGCCGGAACUUCCGGUGGAGCGGUGAAAUGCGUUGAUAUCGGAAGGAACGCCGGUGGCGAAAGCGGGCCGCUGGACCUCUACUGACGCUGAGGCGCGAAAGCCAGGGGAGCAAACGGGAUUAGAUACCCCGGUAGUCCUGGCCCUAAACGAUGGGUACUAGGUAGCGGACUGGACAUGGGUUCGCUGCCGAAGCCAAAGUGCUAAGUACCCCGCCUGGGGAGUAUGGUCGCAAGGCUG